AUGGUUCAUUCAAAUUUCUGCCCUAUCAACUUUCGAUGGUAGGAUAGAGGCCUACCAUGGGUGUUCAACGGGUAACGGAGAAUUAGGGUUCGAUUCCGGAGAGGGAGCCUGAGAAACGGUACCAAUCUAAGGAAGGCAGCAGGCCGCGCAAAUUACCCAAGUCCCUGUAUCUCCAGGGAGGUAGUGACAAUAAAUAACAAUCCAGGACUUUGUCUUGGAAUUGGAAUGAGUACAAUUUAAAUCCCUUAACGAGGAACAAUUGGAGGGCAAGUCUGGUGCCAGCAGCCGCGGUAAUUCCAGCUCCAAUAGCGUAUAUCAAAGUUGUUGCA
This 329-nucleotide ribosomal RNA is filed under the name uncultured fungus. RNAcentral's name for it is "SSU rRNA". It matches the Rfam family "Eukaryotic small subunit ribosomal RNA", at positions 290 to 617 of the family's 1831-position model. The record is from RNAcentral. Lineage: Eukaryota; Fungi.